This 468-nucleotide ribosomal RNA is filed under the name uncultured bacterium. Its description in RNAcentral is "partial 16S ribosomal RNA". It matches the Rfam family "Bacterial small subunit ribosomal RNA", at positions 28 to 507 of the family's 1533-position model. The record is from RNAcentral.
GACGAACGCUGGCGGCGUGCUUAACACAUGCAAGUCGAACGGAAAGGCCCUGCUGUUGUGGGGUGCUCGAGUGGCGAACGGGUGGGUAAGACGUGAGUAACCUGCCCUUGACUUUGGGAUAACUUCAGGAAAAUGGGGCUAAUAACGGAUAGGAGCUCCUGCUGCCUGGAGGGGGUUGGAAAGUUCCGGCGGUUGGGGAUGGACUCGCGGCUUACCAGCUUGUUGGGGGGGGAGUGGCUUACCACGGCUUUGACUGGUAGACGGCCUGGGAGGGUGACCGCCCACCAUGGUACUGCGGUACGGCCCAGACUCCAAUGGUGGGCAGCAGGGGUGAAUAUUGCGCAGUGGGCGGAAGCCUGUUGCAGCAACGCCGCGUGCGGGAUGACGGCCUUCCGGUUGUAAACCGCUUUCGCCUGUGACGAAGCGUGAGUGACGGUAAUGGGUAAAGAAGCACCGGCUAACUACGUG